This is a non-coding RNA of Desulfovibrio sp. An276, 48 nucleotides long. The record is from Rfam. NCBI's taxonomy places the organism in Bacteria, Pseudomonadati, Thermodesulfobacteriota, Desulfovibrionia, Desulfovibrionales, Desulfovibrionaceae.
CUUGUCGCGAGGCAAGUUCUGAAGGAAGUCUAUGGCAAACCACUGACC